AAAGAUGGCUUCGGCUAUCACUUUGGGAUGGACCUGCGGCGCAUUAGCUUGUUGGUAGGGUAACGGCCUACCAAGGCUGUGAUGCGUAKCCKAGUUGAGAGACUGAUCGGCCACAAUGGAACUGAGACACGGUCCAUACUCCUACGGGAGGCAGCAGUAGGGAAUCUUCCACAAUGGGCGCAAGCCUGAUGGAGCAACACCGCGUGAGUGAAGAAGGGUUUCGGCUCGUAAAGCUCUGUUGUUAGAGAAGAACGUGCGUGAGAGUAACUGUUCACGCAGUGACGGUAUCUAACCAGAAAGUCACGGCUAACUACGUGCCAGCAGCCGCGGUAAUACGUAGGUGGCAAGCGUUAUCCGGAUUUAUUGGGCGUAAAGCGAGCGCAGGCGGUUUGAUAAGUCUGAUGUGAAAGCCUUUGGCUUAACCAAAGAAGUGCAUCGGAAACUGUCAGACUUGAGUGCAGAAGAGGACAGUGGAACUCCAUGUGUAGCGGUGGAAUGCGUAGAUAUAUGGAAGAACACCAGUGGCGAAGGCGGCUGUCUGGUCUGCAACUGACGCUGAGGCUCGAAAGCAUGGGUAGCGAACAGGAUUAGAUACCCUGGUAGUCCAUGCCGUAAACGAUGAGUGCUAGGUGUUGGAGGGUUUCCGCCCUUCAGUGCCGCAGCUAACGCAUUAAGCACUCCGCCUGGGGAGUACGACCGCAAGGUUGAAACUCAAAGGAAUUGACGGGGGCCCGCACAAGCGGUGGAGCAUGUGGUUUAAUUCGAAGCUACGCGAAGAACCUUACCAGGUCUUGACAUCUUGCGCCAACCCUAGAGAUAGGGCGUUUCCUUCGGGAACGCAAUGACAGGUGGUGCAUGGUCGUCGUCAGCUCGUGUCGUGAGAUGUUGGGUUAAGUCCCGCAACGAGCGCAACCCUUGUUACUAGUUGCCAGCAUUCAGUUGGGCACUCUAGUGAGACUGCCGGUGACAAACCGGAGGAAGGUGGGGACGACGUCAGAUCAUCAUGCCCCUUAUGACCUGGGCUACACACGUGCUACAAUGGACGGUACAACGAGUCGCGAACUCGCGAGGGCAAGCUAAUCUCUUAAAACCGUUCUCAGUUCGGACUGCAGGCUGCAAUAU
RNAcentral lists this ribosomal RNA (1122 nucleotides) under uncultured bacterium. RNAcentral describes it as "bacterial SSU rRNA". It matches the Rfam family "Bacterial small subunit ribosomal RNA", at positions 202 to 1313 of the family's 1533-position model. The record is from RNAcentral.